RNAcentral lists this transfer RNA (76 nucleotides) under Candidatus Levybacteria bacterium RIFCSPLOWO2_12_FULL_37_14. RNAcentral's name for it is "tRNA-Cys". It matches the Rfam family "tRNA". From Rfam's summary of the family: Transfer RNA (tRNA) molecules are approximately 80 nucleotides in length. The record is from RNAcentral. Lineage: Bacteria; Candidatus Levyibacteriota.
GGCGCGAUGGUGAAGCGGUUAACACAGUUGUUUGCAAAACAACCAUACGCCGGUUCGAAUCCGACUCGCGCCUCCC